CACGUAGGGGGCGAGCGUUGUCCGGAUUUAUUGGGCGUAAAGAGCUCGUAGGCGGUUCGGUAAGUCGGGUGUGAAACCUCCAGGCUCAACCUGGAGUCGCCACUCGAUACUGCUGUGACUAGAGUCCGGUAGGGGAGCGUGGAAUUCCUGGUGUAGCGGUGAAAUGCGCAGAUAUCAGGAGGAACACCGGUGGCGAAGGCGGUUCUCUGGGCCUGUACUGACGCUGAGGAGCGAAAGCGUGGGGAGCAAACAGG
Molecule: ribosomal RNA, 254 nt
Filed under: uncultured bacterium
Lineage: Bacteria
Description: partial 16S ribosomal RNA
Rfam family: Bacterial small subunit ribosomal RNA
Source: RNAcentral